RNAcentral lists this small nucleolar RNA (92 nucleotides) under Zostera marina. RNAcentral describes it as "Small nucleolar RNA R24". It matches the Rfam family "Small nucleolar RNA R24". From Rfam's summary of the family: snoR24 is a C/D box small nucleolar RNA which acts as a methylation guide for 18S ribosomal RNA in plants. Lineage: Eukaryota; Viridiplantae; Streptophyta; Magnoliopsida; Alismatales; Zosteraceae. The record is from Rfam by way of RNAcentral.
AUAGCUGUGAUGAAAUUGCUAUAACGUAAGAAGAGUCAUCAUGAUCAAGUUGACUUUUCAAUGAAAUAUAUUACGCUUGGCUUCUGAGCUUU